Molecule: ribosomal RNA, 1343 nt
Filed under: uncultured bacterium
Lineage: Bacteria
Description: 16S ribosomal RNA
Rfam family: Bacterial small subunit ribosomal RNA
Source: RNAcentral
GACGAACGCUAGCGGCGUGCUUAACACAUGCAAGUCGAACGGAAAGGCCCUGCUUUUGUGGGGUGCUCGAGUGGCGAACGGGUGAGUAACACGUGAGUAACCUGCCCUUGACUUUGGGAUAACUUCAGGAAACUGGGGCUAAUACCGGAUAGGAGCUCCUGCUGCAUGGUGGGGGUUGGAAAGUUUCGGCGGUUGGGGAUGGACUCGCGGCUUAUCAGCUUGUUGGUGGGGUAGUGGCUUACCAAGGCUUUGACGGGUAGCCGGCCUGAGAGGGUGACCGGCCACAUUGGGACUGAGAUACGGCCCAGACUCCUACGGGAGGCAGCAGUGGGGAAUAUUGCACAAUGGGCGGAAGCCUGAUGCAGCAACGCCGCGUGCGGGAUGACGGCCUUCGGGUUGUAAACCGCUUUCGCCUGUGACGAAGCGUGAGUGACGGUAAUGGGUAAAGAAGCACCGGCUAACUACGUGCCAGCAGCCGCGGUGAUACGUAGGGUGCGAGCGUUGUCCGGAUUUAUUGGGCGUAAAGGGCUCGUAGGUGGUUGAUCGCGUCGGAAGUGUAAUCUUGGGGCUUAACCCUGAGCGUGCUUUCGAUACGGGUUGACUUGAGGAAGGUAGGGGAGAAUGGAAUUCCUGGUGGAGCGGUGGAAUGCGCAGAUAUCAGGAGGAACACCAGUGGCGAAGGCGGUUCUCUGGGCCUUUCCUGACGCUGAGGAGCGAAAGCGUGGGGAGCGAACAGGCUUAGAUACCCUGGUAGUCCACGCUGUAAACGGUGGGUACUAGGUGUGGGGUCCAUUCCACGGGUUCCGUGCCGUAGCUAACGCUUUAAGUACCCCGCCUGGGGAGUACGGCCGCAAGGCUAAAACUCAAAGGAAUUGACGGGGCCCCGCACAAGCGGCGGAGCAUGCGGAUUAAUUCGAUGCAACGCGUAGAACCUUACCUGGGUUUGACAUGGAUCGGGAGUGCUCAGAGAUGGGUGUGCCUCUUUUGGGGUCGGUUCACAGGUGGUGCAUGGCUGUCGUCAGCUCGUGUCGUGAGAUGUUGGGUUAAGUCCCGCAACGAGCGCAACCCUUGUUCACUGUUGCCAGCACGUUAUGGUGGGGACUCAGUGGAGACCGCCGGGGUCAACUCGGAGGAAGGUGGGGAUGACGUCAAGUCAUCAUGCCCCUUAUGUCCAGGGCUUCACGCAUGCUACAAUGGCUGGUACAGAGAGUGGCGAGCCUGUGAGGGUGAGCGAAUCUCGGAAAGCCGGUCUCAGUUCGGAUUGGGGUCUGCAACUCGACCUCAUGAAGUCGGAGUCGCUAGUAAUCGCAGAUCAGCAACGCUGCGGUGAAUACGUUCCCGGG